RNAcentral lists this ribosomal RNA (631 nucleotides) under uncultured bacterium. RNAcentral describes it as "partial 16S ribosomal RNA". It matches the Rfam family "Bacterial small subunit ribosomal RNA", at positions 9 to 590 of the family's 1533-position model. The record is from RNAcentral.
GAGUUUGAUCCUGGCUCAGGGUGAACGCUGGCGGCGUGCCUUAGGUAUGCAAGUCGAACGGUUUUGAUAUUUUUGCGGAGUUGAUCUCUGACUUGUCAGAGUGAGAUAAUGCAUGUUGUCAAAAUAGUGGCAGACGGGUGAGUAAUACAUAAGAACCUACCUUUAAGAUGCGUAUAGCCACGCGAAAGCGUGGAUAAUCCGCAAUGGUCUUGUUAAAAGAGAUUUUAACAAGUAAAUGAUUUGCUUUGCAAAUUGCUUAGAGAGGGGCUUAUGUCCUAUCAGCUUGUUGGUAAGGUAAUGGCUUACCAAGGCUAUGACGGGUAGCUGGUCUUGAUAGGAUGGUCAGUCACACUAGCACUGAAACACGGGCUAGACUCCUACGGGAGGCAGCAAUUAGGAAUUUUGCACAAUGGGGGAAACCCUGAUGCAGCGACGCCGCGUGGAGGAUGAAGGCCUUCGGGUUGUAAACUCCUUUUAUUUAAGAAUAAGUUCCAGCCUUUGGCUGGUUCAGAAGGUAUUAUAUGAAUAAGCACCUGCCAACUGCGUGCCAGAAGCCUCGGUUAUGCGUAGGGUGCUAGCGUUACCCGAUUUCACUGGGCGUAAAGAGAUGCGUAGGCUUCCCUAUAAGUUA